AUGUUUCUCUCUGCUCUAAAAUUAUAUUUAUAUUAUAUUAUAAAACGUGGCAGUUUUGUAGUCAGGCUUUUAGCCAUGGUGUAUCCGAGGACAGUGCAUGCGAGUGUGUGUGUGUGUGUGUGUGUGUUCAGUGUGUGUGUGUGUGUGUAUAUUUGAAUAGCUCGGUCUCAGUGCUUACAUGUGCAUUUCUGCUUAUUUCUGUUUCAGUGGCAGGUCCAGUCCUCUGUCCUCCAUGCCCUCUGCUAAGAAGAGACAUUUCUCAGUGGCAGGUGACAGGCUGUAGCACUUAUCUAAUAAAGAGCAGUUUGAGGAAUGUAUCUCCAGGCCUCUGUGAUUUCUGCGUUUUCCGUUGCAGAGCUCUGUGAAUUCUGCAGAAAGCUGAGGGAGAUGUUUGCUCGAACGUUUGCUCGAACGUCGUCCUCCUGAAGCUUUCCAUACCUGCCAGAUGUGCCAGUUCUAAAUCACUGCGCCGGACAGGUCGGCAGAUUGGAUCUGUUCAGAUGCUAUCACCUUUACUGCUGCUCCAGUAAGGCGUAAAACCUAAAACCCUGAAUGUGUCCUGAAUACGGUCCCCUGGAGACAGCAGCACACUUCCAGCCCUCAUCCACGCUCUGCACUGCUGCAGAACUGGACCCAGAACCGGCUGGAGAACCGGCUGGAGAGCUGGCCAGACUCCUGCAGGGCCAAACAGCACCUAAUCAUCUCCAUGGCCUGAAGGCCACGCUGCUAAAGCCAUUGUCCUUCUGUUUUCCAGCAGAAAAUCAGCGCAAGAAAAUGCUGUAGCUCAGAUUGAAUGUCUGAAGAUAAUGAUGGUGAGGGAGGAGUCAUCACACAGUUCACCAUGCAGUAGUUCAUUAUCAUCAUUAAUCACCUCUCUGUGUCUGAACAGCUUUACUGUUAUAAAUGGUUUUAUUCACCAAGUAUGUUUAAGUGCUGUAUGAAUGCGAUAAACUAAUAAAGUGCUAUUUUAAAAUAAAACA
Molecule: long non-coding RNA, 980 nt
Filed under: Astyanax mexicanus (Mexican tetra)
Lineage: Eukaryota; Metazoa; Chordata; Actinopteri; Characiformes; Acestrorhamphidae
Description: lncRNA (ENSAMXG00005001240.1)
Source: RNAcentral